RNAcentral lists this ribosomal RNA (329 nucleotides) under uncultured eukaryote. RNAcentral describes it as "partial 18S ribosomal RNA". It matches the Rfam family "Eukaryotic small subunit ribosomal RNA", at positions 1470 to 1796 of the family's 1831-position model. The record is from RNAcentral.
UCCUUAGAUGUCCUGGGCCGCACGCGCGCUACACUGAGUGUCUGAGAUACGAGUCUGCCUGGUCCGGCAAGGUCUAGGUAAUCGCUAAAAGACACAUCAUGCUUGGGAUAGAUUAUUGCAAAUAUUAAUCUUGAACGAGGAAUUCCUAGUAAGCGCAAGUCAACAGCUUGCGUUGAUUACGUCCCUGCCCUUUGUACACACCGCCCGUCGCUACUACUGAUUGGAUGUUUAAGCGAGGUUCUCGAACUGCUAGCGACUUAGCUUCGGUGAGGUCGCAGUGUGGGAAGUGAACCGAGCUUUGGUGUCUAGAGGAAGUAAAAGUCGUAACA